GGUUUCUUGGUGUAGUCGGUUAUCACAUCUGCUUAACACGCAGAAGGCCGCCAGUUCAAGUCUGGCAGAAAUCA
This is a transfer RNA of Mucor ambiguus, 74 nucleotides long. It matches the Rfam family "tRNA". Rfam says of the family: Transfer RNA (tRNA) molecules are approximately 80 nucleotides in length. Their secondary structure includes four short double-helical elements and three loops (D, anti-codon, and T loops). NCBI's taxonomy places the organism in Eukaryota, Fungi, Mucoromycota, Mucoromycetes, Mucorales, Mucoraceae. The record is from Rfam.